UUGUUGCCAAUGAUGGUUUAUAAAUAUACUUUGAGCUAACACAAUGAAAAGAAUUUUAUCUGAGGCAACUUGAUUUUUAAACAUUUCAUUUCUUUCAAGUUUUUAAUAUUUAAAGAAGAUGAUGAUAGAUAAGACAGGGACAUCUGCAUUCCAUUGGAGUAUGAUGAUUUGUCUGUGGGAAUAUCUCUGAUUUUUU
This 196-nucleotide small RNA is filed under the name Helianthus annuus (common sunflower). Lineage: Eukaryota; Viridiplantae; Streptophyta; Magnoliopsida; Asterales; Asteraceae. The record is from RNAcentral.